CUAUAUAGCUAGCUAAGACAACUCCUCAUCAAUCAUCAUGCGUCUGCUCCUCCUCCUUCCUUUUUAGCCUUCUUAGCUGUGUCUGUGUAUGCCUUUGAAUUCCCUCUUCAAUUCCUUGACUCCGCUGUGCAUGUAUGAACCUUCCUUUAAUUAAUUCACUGUUACACUCGGUGGGAUAUGUACGGUCUGACUCUUUAAUUAUGAUUUAUGAUAUUAAUUAACCCUUUUCCCUUUUUAUUAUCCAUCUACAUCUCUCAUCUCCGUCCCAUUCUUCUCUCACUAUAUAUUCAUUCCACUCUUGUUUUUCCUUUCUGCCCUCAAGCUCAAGCUAGCCCCUCCUUCAUUCUUUACCUCUUCCUCCUUCUUUCCUAGCUUACUUACAAGUGUUAAAAAAAUGUAAUCAGCAUAGCAUGCAUGCACCUUCUUCCUUAAUUUUUCUUUAAGGUUUCCAACCCUAUCUUAAUUAAUUAUGUUAUUUAAGUUACGUACAUGCUCUUCUCAUUUUUCCAAUCCACUUGCUUUUAAAUAUGCAACACACAAGUCUUCUCCAAGCUUUAAGUGUGCAAACACUCCAUUUGGGUGGUGUUCUAUAUAUCUUUUUGUGGUUCAGGAAGUGUGUUGCAAUGUUUCUUUUCUUCUUUUAAGCGUAGUAGCUCACAUAUAUGCACCUGCAGAGAUAGUGGAAUUGAGCCGAACAUGCAUAAACUGUCUGGAUUGGAAGUCUACAAAGGAAAAAGUGAAGCUGCCAGCAUGAUCUAGCUUUGGUUAGAGAGCUGAAGAAGAGUGUUAAAUGCUAACCCUUACUAGGUCAUGCUGUAACAGCCUCACUCCUUCCUAUUUGGGGACCCAGUACAGUAGUAGAUUCUUCAACAAUCUGAAAGACACACAACGCUUAAAAAGCAAAAGGUAAGAAGUUAGUGGGCAUGAGAAAAACCACUGUUAGCAUCGUAUAUUCCUUCUUUAUUAUUUUCUGAGUUUCUGUUCUGGAAGGCGUGCGUUAUAUAUAUUAAACUUUUCCCUUUUACCCUUUUACUUGCUUUUGUCUUUUUCUUUUUUCUUGCUACUUCUUUCAUCGAACUAGCCAGUUCACUGUGUUGUGUCUUUGGGACGAAAGUUUUAAUUUGAUGGCCGUAGAUUGCUCCUUAUCUUUACUUAAUUAGGGUUCCUACAACCGAAGGAUGUUUAUAUGUCAUUCUAGUAUCAAAUUUAUUCAUCACUAUUUUCUUUAGAUUGGCUUGAAUUUCUAAACCCUAGAGGUAAUUACUUCGACGACCUUUAAGUUGCUGUGUAUGAGUGCUAUGGAAUCAUAGUUAUGCAGCAUGUGCAGAGGACGUUUUACUGGUUAUUUAUCUCCAUAAAUGUUAAAAUAUAUUGAAAGACGCAGUUGUUGAGAUCCAAAGCAGUGAUGUCGGGGAAGAUAAACACUCUUUUGCAGGUUCAGAAGAUUGAUGGUUGCUAAAUAUGCUCAAUUUUGGUUUGAAAUAGUGGGAUUUGCGACCUAUAGAACUCUCGAUCACUAUGUUUAUGCUGAACACCUACAAAUAGUGAUCCCCUUCCAGAUGCGAAUGGAAUACUAACGCUGAUCCAGGCUUAACGGAGUAGAGUGUAUAGUGAAGAAUGAACAUUCUUGUGUAGUAUUUUACUCUUUUCAACAAAUUUUGAUCUCUUCCACAGACUUCAGUGAUUUGUCCAUGCAGCGUUAACGAAGUAUACACAUAAGUAUCCAAGCCUGCUGAUAGAAAAAAAAAAAAAAAAACAAGUAUCCCAGCCUGUUAUGUAGUAUUUACUAAAUAAGUAAAUAUUAAGUUUAAGUGGUGUUUGAUAAGCAUUACUUGCAUGAAUUUAUACAAUUAAUUGUUUUAAUAGAAGUUGUAUGUCACAAGUCAUAACUACUUUUUUUGAGUAUUUUAAGAACAAAAAUAUUAAUAUUC
Molecule: long non-coding RNA, 1931 nt
Organism: Glycine soja
Lineage: Eukaryota; Viridiplantae; Streptophyta; Magnoliopsida; Fabales; Fabaceae
Exons: 2
Source: RefSeq, a predicted model, not a curated record